UACGGAGGGGGCUAGCGUUGUUCGGAAUUACUGGGCGUAAAGCGCACGUAGGCGGUCUGUUAAGUCGGGGGUGAAAUCCUGGGGCUCAACCUCAGAAUUGCCUCCGAUACUGGCAGUCUCGAGUGCGGGAGAGGUGAGUGGAAUUCCCAGUGUAGAGGUGAAAUUCGUAGAUAUUGGGAAGAACACCAGUGGCGAAGGCGGCUCACUGGCCCGUAACUGACGCUGAGGUGCGAAAGCUAGGGGAGCAAACGGG
Molecule: ribosomal RNA, 253 nt
Filed under: uncultured bacterium
Lineage: Bacteria
Description: partial 16S ribosomal RNA
Rfam family: Bacterial small subunit ribosomal RNA
Source: RNAcentral